RNAcentral lists this ribosomal RNA (1678 nucleotides) under Flavobacterium lacus. RNAcentral's name for it is "bacterial SSU rRNA". It matches the Rfam family "Bacterial small subunit ribosomal RNA". Lineage: Bacteria; Pseudomonadati; Bacteroidota; Flavobacteriia; Flavobacteriales; Flavobacteriaceae. The record is from RNAcentral.
AAAACAAGAAGACACGUUCAUAGACAUAUUGAAUUGACAGCACGAUUAGACAGUAAUGUUUAAUCGAAAAAAAAGAGAGAGUAAGGCUAAUCGAGAGAUUAAAGAAUACCUAGUAAACUUUGUCCAAAAAAUGCAGCUAAUUUAUUAGCUCAAAAAAUAUACGAUGAAGAGUUUGAUCCUGGCUCAGGAUGAACGCUAGCGGCAGGCCUAACACAUGCAAGUCGAGGGGUAGAGGAAGCUUGCUUCCUUGAGACCGGCGCACGGGUGCGUAACGCGUAUGCAAUCUACCUUGUACAGAGGAAUAGCCCAGAGAAAUUUGGAUUAAUGCCUCAUAGUAUAUUGGGUCGGCAUCGACCUAUUAUUAAAGAUUUAUCGGUACAAGAUGAGCAUGCGUCCCAUUAGUUAGUUGGUAAGGUAACGGCUUACCAAGACGAUGAUGGGUAGGGGUCCUGAGAGGGAGAUCCCCCACACUGGUACUGAGACACGGACCAGACUCCUACGGGAGGCAGCAGUGAGGAAUAUUGGGCAAUGGGCGCAAGCCUGACCCAGCCAUGCCGCGUGCAGGAAGACGGUCCUAUGGAUUGUAAACUGCUUUUAUACGGGAAGAAACACCCCCUCGUGAGGGGGCUUGACGGUACCGUAAGAAUAAGGAUCGGCUAACUCCGUGCCAGCAGCCGCGGUAAUACGGAGGAUCCAAGCGUUAUCCGGAAUCAUUGGGUUUAAAGGGUCCGUAGGCGGCCUUAUAAGUCAGUGGUGAAAUCUCCUAGCUCAACUAGGAAACUGCCAUUGAUACUGUAGGGCUUGAAUUAUUGUGAAGUAACUAGAAUAUGUAGUGUAGCGGUGAAAUGCUUAGAUAUUACAUGGAAUACCAAUUGCGAAGGCAGGUUACUAACAAUAUAUUGACGCUGAUGGACGAAAGCGUGGGUAGCGAACAGGAUUAGAUACCCUGGUAGUCCACGCCGUAAACGAUGGAUACUAGCUGUUGGGCGCAAGUUCAGUGGCUAAGCGAAAGUGAUAAGUAUCCCACCUGGGGAGUACGAACGCAAGUUUGAAACUCAAAGGAAUUGACGGGGGCCCGCACAAGCGGUGGAGCAUGUGGUUUAAUUCGAUGAUACGCGAGGAACCUUACCAAGGCUUAAAUGUAGAUUGACCGUUUUGGAAACAGAACUUUCGCAAGACAAUUUACAAGGUGCUGCAUGGUUGUCGUCAGCUCGUGCCGUGAGGUGUCAGGUUAAGUCCUAUAACGAGCGCAACCCCUGUUGUUAGUUGCCAGCGAGUCAUGUCGGGAACUCUAACGAGACUGCCAGUGCAAACUGUGAGGAAGGUGGGGAUGACGUCAAAUCAUCACGGCCCUUACGCCUUGGGCUACACACGUGCUACAAUGGACGGUACAGAGAGCAGCCACAACGCAAGUUGGAGCGAAUCUACAAAACCGUUCUCAGUUCGGAUCGGAGUCUGCAACUCGACUCCGUGAAGCUGGAAUCGCUAGUAAUCGGAUAUCAGCCAUGAUCCGGUGAAUACGUUCCCGGGCCUUGUACACACCGCCCGUCAAGCCAUGGAAGCUGGGGGUACCUGAAGUCGGUGACCGCAAGGAGCUGCCUAGGGUAAAACUGGUAACUGGGGCUAAGUCGUAACAAGGUAGCCGUACCGGAAGGUGCGGCUGGAACACCUCCUUUCU